Molecule: microRNA, 22 nt
Filed under: Oreochromis niloticus (Nile tilapia)
Lineage: Eukaryota; Metazoa; Chordata; Actinopteri; Cichliformes; Cichlidae
Description: oni-miR-10837
Source: miRBase by way of RNAcentral
UGACUGUACCUCAGCAGGUAGA